Molecule: long non-coding RNA, 627 nt
Organism: Rhipicephalus sanguineus (brown dog tick)
Lineage: Eukaryota; Metazoa; Arthropoda; Arachnida; Ixodida; Ixodidae
Exons: 2
Source: RefSeq, a predicted model, not a curated record
UACAUGCAAGAAAUUUAGUAUUGCAACAAAACAGUAUCCAAUUUACUAAGUUCGAGGAUAGGCCAAAGCGUGAAAAAACGGAACAUAUUUAACUUACAAUGCAAAGCAGAGUAUGAGAAUGAGGGACGUCGCUGUAUAUCUGCUCAUCGCAGUGGUCUUGAAGUGAGACGAUGAUUCUGCAAUGUACCCCUGCGAAGGUUCUUCCCUUUUAUAGAGGCCCUUUCAUUACCUGGUGAAAAAUGUACAGAAGGCGUACGUUUCAUUCUCUUGCAGCUGUCAGUAAAAAUACCGAUUUAAGUGAUGGAUAAUAUCAUUGACGUUCUUGCAUUAAAGAUCGGUGAUGACCCAAACACGAGGCAUUAGGACAUCUUUUUUAACCUUACUUCGUAAAAGAAAACAAGAAAAAGCAGCCGAAAGUAUCAGAGUACAGUGUCAUCAAAUUUUGAUCUCGGGGCUCGCAAAGGUCAGGAGUGCGGUGUUGGCAAACCACCAUGUCCAAAAGGUUGCACCUGUGAAGGCGGUGGUCCGGGGCCAGUGUAUAUUCCACAAUAUUGUAAAGACAAUGAAUCAGGAUAGCGUUCGUGACGAAAUUAUUGUUAAAUAAACAAUCAACGAGCAUUUAUUGGU